This 460-nucleotide ribosomal RNA is filed under the name uncultured bacterium. RNAcentral's name for it is "partial 16S ribosomal RNA". It matches the Rfam family "Bacterial small subunit ribosomal RNA", at positions 338 to 795 of the family's 1533-position model. The record is from RNAcentral.
CCUACGGGAGGCAGCAGUGAGGAAUAUUGGUCAAUGGGCGCGAGCCUGAACCAGCCAAGUCGCGUGAAGGAUGAAUGACCUAUGGGUUGUAAACUUCUUUUAUAAAGGAAUAAAGUGAGGAACGUGUGCCUUUUUGUAUGUACCAUAUGAAUAAGGAUCGGCUAACUCCGUGCCAGCAGCCGCGGUAAUACGGAGGAUGCGAGCGUUAUCCGGAUUUAUUGGGUUUAAGGGGUGCGUAGGUGGUUUAUUAAGUAAGUUGUGAAAGUUUGCGGCUCAACCGUAAAAUUGCCGUUGAGACUGGCUGUCUUGAGUACAGUUGAGGUAGGCGGAAUGCGUGGUGUAGCGGUGAAAUGCAUAGAUAUCACGCAGAACUCCGAUUGCGAAGGCAGCUUACUAAACUGUAACUGACACUGAAGUACGAAAGUGUGGGGAUCAAACAGGAUUAGAUACCCCAGUAGUC